AUUGAACGCUGGCGGCAGGCUUAACACAUGCAAGUCGAGCGGAGAUGAGGUGCUUGCACCUUAUCUUAGCGGCGGACGGGUGAGUAAUGCUUAGGAAUCUGCCUAUUAGUGGGGGACAACAUUCCGAAAGGAAUGCUAAUACCGCAUACGUCCUACGGGAGAAAGCAGGGGAUCUUCGGACCUUGCGCUAAUAGAUGCGCCUAAGUCGGAUUAGCUAGUUGGUGGGGUAAAGGCCUACCAAGGCGACGAUCUGUAGCGGGUCUGAGAGGAUGAUCCGCCACACUGGGACUGAGACACGGCCCAGACUCCUACGGGAGGCAGCAGUGGGGAAUAUUGGACAAUGGGGGAAACCCUGAUCCAGCCAUGCCGCGUGUGUGAAGAAGGCCUUAUGGUUGUAAAGCACUUUAAGCGAGGAGGAGGCUACUGAGACUAAUACUCUUGGAUAGUGGACGUUACCCGCAGAAUAAGCACCGGCUAACUCUGUGCCAGCAGCCGCGGUAA
RNAcentral lists this ribosomal RNA (501 nucleotides) under uncultured bacterium. RNAcentral describes it as "partial 16S ribosomal RNA". It matches the Rfam family "Bacterial small subunit ribosomal RNA", at positions 30 to 523 of the family's 1533-position model. The record is from RNAcentral.